GCCAGAGUGGUGUAGUGGUUUGAACGUAGAACUAGGAUUCUGGUGAUCGGAGUUCGAUUCCCUGCUCAGAUA
Non-coding RNA from Phrynosoma platyrhinos (Desert horned lizard), 72 nucleotides. Lineage: Eukaryota; Metazoa; Chordata; Lepidosauria; Squamata; Phrynosomatidae. The record is from the annotation of a GenBank genome assembly.